UUCCAUCUGGAAGAAUACUGGAGACAGGUGCUGCAUGGCUGUCGUCAGCUCGUGUCGUGAGAUGUUGGGUUAAGUCCCGCAACGAGCGCAACCCUUGCCUUUAGUUGCCAGCAGUUCGGCUGGGCACUCUAAAGGGACUGCCGGUGUUAAACCGGAGGAAGGUGGGGGAUGACGUCAAGUCCUCAUGGCCUUUAUGACCAGGGCUACACACGUACUACAAUGGCCGAUACAAAGGGCAGCGACACUGCGAGGUGAAGCCAAUCCCGUAAAAUCGGUCUCAGUCCGGAUUGGAGUCUGCAACUCGACUCCAUGAAGUUGGAAUCGCUAGUAAUCGUGGAUCAGCAUGCCACGGUGAAUACGUUCCCGGGCCUU
This 372-nucleotide ribosomal RNA is filed under the name uncultured Desulfobulbus sp. Its description in RNAcentral is "bacterial SSU rRNA". It matches the Rfam family "Bacterial small subunit ribosomal RNA", at positions 1014 to 1382 of the family's 1533-position model. Lineage: Bacteria; Pseudomonadati; Thermodesulfobacteriota; Desulfobulbia; Desulfobulbales; Desulfobulbaceae. The record is from RNAcentral.